Molecule: RNase P RNA, 477 nt
Filed under: Phycisphaerales bacterium
Lineage: Bacteria; Pseudomonadati; Planctomycetota; Phycisphaerae; Phycisphaerales
Description: RNase P RNA component class A
Rfam family: Bacterial RNase P class A
About the family: Ribonuclease P (RNase P) is a ubiquitous endoribonuclease, found in archaea, bacteria and eukarya as well as chloroplasts and mitochondria.
Source: RNAcentral
GGAGUGGGUGAGGCGAUCGCUCGGCCGAUUCGUCGUCUGUCUUCGCCACGGAGAUGCGGCGGGCACGGGAAUUCGAAAUCCAAAUUCCUGGUGCCUCCGCGUCUCCGUGGUGAGCGGAUUUAUUGGAUUAGCCGGGAGGAAAGUCCGAACUGGGCAGGGCACGGUGGUCGCUAACGGCGACCCGGCGCGAGCCGAGGGAAAGUGCCACAGAAAACAUACCGCCCCUGGCCAUCGGCCGGGGGUAAGGGUGAAAUGGUGCGGUAAGAGCGCACCGCGUCGCGGGUGACCGCGACGGCAGGGCAAACCCCACCGCCAGCAAGCCCAAAUAGGCAGCGAGAGGCGGCCCGUCUCGUUUGAGCUGCGGGUAGGGUGCUCGAGCGGUCGUGCAAACGGCCGCCCAGAUGAAUGAUCGCCGCCUUUCUCCCGCGAUUCGCGGGAGAGGGGUAACAGAAUUCGGCUUAUUCGCCCACUCCGCCU